UUGAAUGUUUGAAGUAGUUGAGCUGGUCUUAACGGACAUGUGCUUGCUGCUUCUAUUCAUCUCAUCCACCUGUGCACUUACUGUAGAGCUUCGAGGAAUGUCCUAGUUCAUUCUGGGACUAGUAUUCAAGUUCUAUGUAUUUCAUUACAAACUCUAUGAAUGUCUUGAAUGUCUUUUAUUGGGCCUUGAUUGACCCUUUAAACUUUAUA
Molecule: unclassified non-coding RNA, 209 nt
Filed under: uncultured Basidiomycota
Lineage: Eukaryota; Fungi; Basidiomycota
Description: sequence contains ITS1
Source: RNAcentral